GCGGCCCGUAGUCCUUCUGCGAGGGCGCGAGGACCCCAGGAGCAGUCCUGGUUCGGGCAUUUUUGAAGAAACUGAGUUCCCGGCGUUCGCAGCCUGGGAGUCACAGGCGCCCACCCACCGGUGUUGGAAGGGCAUGAGAAACAAGGGGAUAACAAGGGCACCCAAAGGCUGACCCCCACAAGGCUAGAGGAGCAACAGGAAAAUUCGUUUCCAGAGACUGAUUCCUCAGCUGCUGAGCAGGAGCCUGGAGCCACACUUGCUGCCUGGUACUACUGACACACAACUGGAACCACCGCUGUGGCCUGGGGUGCCACCAGAAGCCAGAGAUUAGAAUUGCUUUCCCCAUCUCAUGUCUUCCAAACUCCCACCAGUGCCUCCCACUGGCUGAGUCAGAUGACAAGGGAGUCUGGGAAAUGUAGUUGUCUGGCUUCCAGCCCUGACCAUGGAGAGUACAGAAAGGCAGGUGUAGGGGAGAAAAUAGAUGCCAUUCACACAACGCCUAUCUUGCAGGGCUGUUUUGAGGAGUAAAAACUCAGCCUAUUUUAUUCCUCAUAGCAUGUAGUAGCAUUCAGGGAAAGGCAAAUCUUCCAAAACAAUAUCUUAGGUAUAAUAGUUCUACAUAAAGGUUUGAAUUUACCAUUAAAAGCAUCAAAAUGAGCAUUUUAAAAGUAGAAUUUUAAGUCUGAAUGGGCAGUAUAUUCACAUGGUAUAAAAUUCAAAUUACAAAACAAUAUACAGUGAAAAAUAAGGGGGUUUUUUUGCUCAUCUUCUUGUGACCUGGCUCUUUCCAUCUCUGUCCACAACCCUCUGCAGGCAAUAACUGGUACCUUUGUUAUGGAUCCUCUGCAGAUAUAAAGUAGACAUAUAUUAACAAAUGUUUUCUUUGUCCCAGAGGAUGCAUAUUAUGCACAUUCCUCCAUUUCUUGUUUGUUUUUGUUUUUUCCACUUAAUUGUAUCUUGGAGAUCACUCUGCAUCAGUAUAUAUCUGAUUUGUUUUAGCAGUACAUGAUAAUCCAUUGUUUGGAUAUGCCAUAAUUGUAUCAGCCAGUCUCUGGACAGUCUUUUACUAUUUCAAGGAGUGCUGCAGUAAACAUGUUUGCGCCACUUCCUGGUACCCAUUGCAAAUAAAACUGGGAUAAUUUCCUGACGAG
This 1151-nucleotide non-coding RNA is filed under the name Pan troglodytes (chimpanzee). Lineage: Eukaryota; Metazoa; Chordata; Mammalia; Primates; Hominidae. The record is from RNAcentral.